RNAcentral lists this ribosomal RNA (1635 nucleotides) under metagenome. RNAcentral describes it as "bacterial LSU rRNA". It matches the Rfam family "Bacterial large subunit ribosomal RNA", at positions 1298 to 2925 of the family's 2925-position model. The record is from RNAcentral.
UGACAUGAGUAACGAUAAUGCGGGUGAAAAGCCCGCACGCCGAAAGCCCCAGGUUUCCUUGCGCAACGUUCAUCGGCGCAGGGUGAGUCGGCCCCUAAGACGAGGCGGAAACGCGUAGUCGAUGGGAAGCUGGUUAAUAUUCCAGCACCUCGCGUGAGUGCGAUGAGGGGACGGAGAAGGAUAGGUGUACCGGGCGUUGGUUGUCCCGGGGAAAGGAGGUAGGUGGAUCCCUUAGGCAAAUCCGGGGGGUCAUACACCGAGCACCGAGACGAGGUCUUCGGACCGAAGUCACUGAGUCCACGCUUCCAGGAAAAGCCUCUAAGCUUCAGCUCACGAAGACCGUACCGCAAACCGACACAGGUAGGCAGGGUGAGAAUCCCAAGGCGCUUGAGAGAACUCGGGUGAAGGAACUAGGCAACAUAGCACCGUUACUUCGGGAGAAGGUGCACCCAAGAGUGUGGCUACAUGCGUAGCUGAGCACUCCUGGGUCGCAGUGACCAGGCCGCUGCGACUGUUUAUCAAAAACACAGCACUCUGCAAACACGAAAGUGGACGUAUAGGGUGUGACGCCUGCCCGGUGCCGGAAGGUUAAUUGAUGGGGUCAGCGCAAGCGAAGCUCUUGACCGAAGCCCCGGUAAACGGCGGCCGUAACAAUAACGGUCCUAAGGUAGCGAAAUUCCUUGUCGGGUAAGUUCCGACCUGCACGAAUGGCGUAACGACAGCGGCGCUGUCUCCACCCGAGACUCAGUGAAAUUGAAAUCGCUGUGAAGAUGCAGCGUUCCCGCGGCAAGACGGAAAGACCCCGUGAACCUUUACUAUAGCUUUACAUUGAACGUUGAGUUCGUCUGUGUAGGAUAGGUGGGAGCCUUUGAAGUUUGGGCGCUAGCUCAGAUGGAGGCAACCUUGAAAUACCACCCUGAUGUGCUUGACGUUCUAACCUCGGCCCGUUAUCCGGGUCAGGGACCAUGUAUGGUGGGUAGUUUGACUGGGGCGGUCUCCUCCCAAAGAGUAACGGAGGAGCUCGAAGGUACGCUCAGCGCGGUCGGACAUCGCGCACUGUGUGCAAAGGCAUAAGCGUGCUUGACUGCAAGAUCGACGGAUCAAGCAGGUAGGAAACUAGGACUUAGUGAUCCGGUGGUUCUGUAUGGAAGGGCCAUCGCUCAACGGAUAAAAGGUACUCCGGGGAUAACAGGCUGAUACCGCCCAAGAGUUCAUAUCGACGGCGGUGUUUGGCACCUCGAUGUCGGCUCAUCGCAUCCUGGGGCUGUAGUCGGUCCCUAGGGUAUGGCUGCUCGCCAUUUAAAGCGGUACGCGAGCUGGGUUCAGAACGUCGUGAGACAGUUCGGUCCCUAUCUGUCGUGGGCGUUGGAGGUUUGAGAGGGGCUGCUCCUAGUACGAGAGGACCGGAGUGGACGUAUCUCUGGUGUUCCGGUUGUCACGCCAGUGGCACUGCCGGGUAGCUAUAUACGGAAGAGAUAACCGCUGAAAGCAUCUAAGCGGGAAACUCGCCUCAAGAUGAGACCUCCCGGGGCACAAGCCCCCUAAAGGAACGAUGAAGACUACGUCGUUGAUAGGCUGGGUGUGUACAACCGCAAGGUUUAGCUAACCAGUACUAAUGAUCCGUGUGGCUUGACC